AGCGAACGCUGGCGGCAGGCCUAACACAUGCAAGUCGAACGAACCUUUCGGGGUUAGUGGCGGACGGGUGAGUAACACGUGGGAACGUGCCUUUAGGUUCGGAAUAACUCAGGGAAACUUGUGCUAAUACCGAAUGUGCCCUUCGGGGGAAAGAUUUAUCGCCUUUAGAGCGGCCCGCGUCUGAUUAGCUAGUUGGUUGAGGUAAUGGCUCACCAAGGCGACGAUCAGUAGCUGGUCUGAGAGGAUGAUCAGCCACAUUGGGACUGAGACACGGCCCAAACUCCUACGGGAGGCAGCAGUGGGGAAUCUUGCGCAAUGGGCGAAAGCCUGACGCAGCCAUGCCGCGUGAAUGAUGAAGGUCUUAGGAUUGUAAAAUUCUCUCACCGGGGACGAUAAUGACGGUACCCGGAGAAGAAGCCCCGGCUAACUUCGUG
Molecule: ribosomal RNA, 434 nt
Filed under: uncultured bacterium
Lineage: Bacteria
Description: partial 16S ribosomal RNA
Rfam family: Bacterial small subunit ribosomal RNA
Source: RNAcentral